Molecule: non-coding RNA, 46 nt
Filed under: Trichobilharzia regenti
Lineage: Eukaryota; Metazoa; Platyhelminthes; Trematoda; Strigeidida; Schistosomatidae
Source: RNAcentral
GUACUGAUGAAGAGUCCCAAACUAGGACGAAAGAUCUAUCCAGUAC